Molecule: non-coding RNA, 78 nt
Organism: Podarcis lilfordi (Lilford's wall lizard)
Lineage: Eukaryota; Metazoa; Chordata; Lepidosauria; Squamata; Lacertidae
Source: the annotation of a GenBank genome assembly
GGACGAGCCGUAGCCAAGUGGUCAAGAGCAUCUGCUUGGCAUGCAGAAGGUCCCUGGUUCAAUCCCCAAGUGGGGCCG